RNAcentral lists this ribosomal RNA (520 nucleotides) under uncultured Glomus. RNAcentral describes it as "SSU rRNA". It matches the Rfam family "Eukaryotic small subunit ribosomal RNA", at positions 569 to 1091 of the family's 1831-position model. Lineage: Eukaryota; Fungi; Glomeromycota; Glomeromycetes; Glomerales; Glomeraceae. The record is from RNAcentral.
AGCAGCCGCGGUAAUUCCAGCUCCAAUAGCGUAUAUUAAAGUUGCUGCAGUUAAAAAGCUCGUAGUUGAAUUUCGGGGUUAGUAGGUUGGUCAUGCCUCUGGUAUGUACUGGUCUCACUGAUUCCUCCUUCCUGAUGAACCUUAAUGCCAUUAAUUUGGUGUUUUGGGGAAUUUGGACUGUUACUUUGAAAAAAUUAGAGUGUUUAAAGCAAGCUAACGCUUGAAUACAUUAGCAUGGAAUAAUGAAAUAGGACGUUCGAUCCUAUUUUGUUGGUUUCUAGGAUUGACGUAAUGAUUAAUAGGGAUAGUUGGGGGCAUUAGUAUUCAAUUGUCAGAGGUGAAAUUCUUGGAUUUAUUGAAGACUAACUACUGCGAAAGCAUUUGCCAAGGAUGUUUUCAUUAAUCAAGAACGAAAGUUAGGGGAUCGAAGACGAUCAGAUACCGUCGUAGUCUUAACCAUAAACUAUGCCGACUAGGGAUCGGAUGAUGUUAAUUUUUAAUGACUCAUUCGGCGCCUUAC